GACGAGCGCUGGCGGCGUGCUUAACACAUGCAAGUCGAACGGUAAGGCCCUUCGGGGUACACGAGUGGCGAACGGGUGAGUAACACGUGGGUGAUCUGCCCUGCACUUCGGGAUAAGCCUGGGAAACUGGGUCUAAUACCGGAUAGGACCACUGCCUGCAUGGGUGGUGGUGGAAAGCUUUUGCGGUGUGGGAUGGGCCCGCGGCCUAUCAGCUUGUUGGUGGGGUGAUGGCCUACCAAGGCGACGACGGGUAGCCGGCCUGAGAGGGUGACCGGCCACACUGGGGCUGAGAUACGGCCCAGACUCCUACGGGAGGCAGCAGUGGGGAAUACUGCACAAUGGGCGCAAGCCUGAUGCAGCGACGCCGCGUGAGGGAUGACGGCCUUCGGGUUGUAAACCUCUUUCAGCACCGACGAAGCGCAAGUGACGGUAGGUGCAGAAGAAGGACCGGCCAACUACGUGCCAGCCGCCGCCGUAA
Molecule: ribosomal RNA, 478 nt
Filed under: uncultured bacterium
Lineage: Bacteria
Description: partial 16S ribosomal RNA
Rfam family: Bacterial small subunit ribosomal RNA
Source: RNAcentral